UCUUCUUCUUCUUCUGCGACUCGAGUUUGCUGGUCUUCCCCUUCGUCAUGGCGAAGGUGACGGAUCCGCAGAGGAGGAGGGGAAGGAGGAGGCUUGAGGCGUGCAGAGAGCUGCGAGAGGAGCGGGAUUAAUGAGAGGAGGUUGAGCAGCGCGACAGGAAAUCCCGCCGGGGAGGCUUAAAUAGGCUUCCGACUGGGUCACUAACAGGUGGACCCAAGAUCUUAUCCCCCCGACCGGCCGCUACGAGGUUAGUGGAGAAGAUAAAGGUGCGGUAAUUGAGGAGGCAAAACCUACUCGAUGGCGAUGUCGUCAUCCCCGCUGAGCGCGCGGCAACCGAAAUUUGAGGAUCCCGGAAAAUCCGGCGCUGUCAGUUUGACCAGUCACGUCGAAAGAUUCCACGGAAGCACUUGGUCCCUGACGGUUCGUUUCACUCGUAUAUUCACUCGGAUCACUGGUUGGAAGGAUAAAAUGGAUCGAGGCAAACAACGCUAAAGUCACCUCCAUACCAGUCGGUUCCAUACUCCAGACAUCACUUCAUCGUUCCAACCCCGAUCCAUUCGGGGACUAAUGAUGGGGUUAUAGUCCCAGGGUAGGGUCAUAG
This 601-nucleotide long non-coding RNA is filed under the name Hordeum vulgare. RNAcentral describes it as "long non-coding RNA (HVUL_LNC013850)". The record is from RNAcentral. Lineage: Eukaryota; Viridiplantae; Streptophyta; Magnoliopsida; Poales; Poaceae.